RNAcentral lists this ribosomal RNA (1241 nucleotides) under metagenome. Its description in RNAcentral is "bacterial LSU rRNA". It matches the Rfam family "Bacterial large subunit ribosomal RNA", at positions 1564 to 2815 of the family's 2925-position model. The record is from RNAcentral.
UGAGUACGAGAUGCUACGGCAUCGAAGCAGUGUAUGUCAGACUUCCAAGAAAAGCUCGCAAUGUCUUAAAUAAAUAAUGCCUGUACCAUAACCGACACAGGUGGGUAGGUAGAGUAUACUAAGGGGCGCGAGAUAACUCUCUCUAGGGAACUCGGCAAAAUGACUCCGUAACUUCGGGAGAAGGAGUGCCUUAUUUAUAAGGUUGCAAUAACAAGAUCCAAGCAGCUGUUUACCAAAAACACAGGUCUCCGCUAAGUCGUAAGGCGAUGUAUGGGGGCUGACGCCUGCCCAGUGCCAGAAGGUUAAAGAAGUCGGUUAGCAUUAGCGAAGCUGGUAACUUAAGCCCUGGUGAACGGCGGCCGUAACAAUAACGGUCCUAAGGUAGCGAAAUUCCUUGUCGGGUAAGUUCCGACCCGCACGAAAGGCGUAAUGAUUUGGAUACUGUCUCGGAGAGGGGCUCGGUGAAAUAGACCUGUCUGUGAAGAUGCGGACUACCUGCACCUGGACAGAAAGACCCUAUGAAGCUUUACUGUAACUUGAAAUUGAAAUUGGACUUUAUUUGCGCAGUAUAGGUGGGAGGCAUUGAAAAUAUUCUUGCGGGAAUAUUGGAGCCAUCAGUGAGAUACCACUCUUGUAAUGUUAGAUUUCUAACUUUGUAUCAUAAUCUGGUCAAAGAACAGUUUCAGGCGGGCAGUUUGACUGGGGCGGUCGCCUCCUAAAUGGUAACGGAGGCGUACAAAGGUUUCCUCUGAACGUGUAGAAAUCGUAUCUAGAGUGUAAAGGCACAAGGAAGCUUGACUGUGAGACCUACAAGUCGAGCAGGGACGAAAGUCGGUCUUAGUGAUCUGACGGUACUGAGUGGAAAGGCCGUCACUCAACGGAUAAAAGUUACUCUAGGAUAACAGGCUGAUCUCCCCCAAGAGUUCACAUCGACGGGGAGGUUUGGCACCUCGAUGUCGGCUCAUCGCAUCCUGGGGCGGUAGUACGUCCCAAGGGUUGGGCUGUUCGCCCAUGAAAGCGGUACGCGAGCUGGGUUCAGAACGCCGUGAGACAGUUCGGUCCAUAUCCGGUGUAGGCGUUAGAAUAUUGAGAGGAGCCUUCUUUAGUACGAGAGGACCGAGAAGGACAUACCUCUGGUGUACCAGUUAUCGUGCCAACGGUAAACGCUGGGUAGCUAUGUAUGGAGAGGAUAACCGCUGAAAGCAUCUAAGUGGGAAGCCCACCUCAAGAUGAGUAUUCUC